RNAcentral lists this long non-coding RNA (684 nucleotides) under Manacus vitellinus (golden-collared manakin). RNAcentral describes it as "lncRNA (ENSMVIG00005000062.1)". Lineage: Eukaryota; Metazoa; Chordata; Aves; Passeriformes; Pipridae. The record is from RNAcentral.
AAACAAUCGAGUAGAAUGCGGCGGGGGCGCCUCGGGAGCUGCGUCUUGGCUCCGAGUCCGCAGCCGUGCGGGGAGAAAAGCUUUUCCCGAACGUGCUGUGGCGCUCGCACGGGAAAUUGCCUUCAGCCAGAGGAGUGACAAGCUGUGGGGCAAUCUUUGCUCUCAGGGCCCGGGCACUUUCCUUUCACUGGUUCAGCAGAGAUCAACAAGAAGAGGCUGAGUCUGAGAAGUUAACCAUGCAUGGUUCAAGCCACCUGGCAAUGAGCUCUGCAGGCAUAGGAGGCAACCUUUCUGCCUUUAUCAUGAACCUGAGAGCAGUAUAACCAUCUGGCUGGUUAUAAUUUAACAGAAACCCCAUUUUUUAUCUUGCUAUGGUGGUGUGCUUUCUUUUAAAUGUCACCUGUAGAGUUUCCCAAUGAGUGGAGAAGUUUUGCUUUGUAUUUCUUACAGAUACUGACAAAAACUAGUCCACUGGAUUACCAUAAACCUAGCCAUAUUCUUUCUUAGAGGCAUGAGCAAGCUGAAAAGAGUUUGCAGUAACUUUUAUACUUUAAUCAAAAUAUUUUUCAGUAUAUAUUUGUCAUUUUUAACCAGUAGACUCAUUGACUGGUUAUUUUAUUAAUGUUGAAAUCUUACAAUUUUAGAGGAGUUAUUAAGCAAAUAAAUUAAUCUUCAGCUUUCCCA